RNAcentral lists this ribosomal RNA (200 nucleotides) under uncultured bacterium. RNAcentral's name for it is "partial 16S ribosomal RNA". It matches the Rfam family "Bacterial small subunit ribosomal RNA", at positions 1294 to 1500 of the family's 1533-position model. The record is from RNAcentral.
CGGAUUGGAGUCUGCAACUCGACUCCAUGAAGCUGGAUUCGCUAGUAAUCGCGCAUCAGCCAUGGCGCGGUGAAUACGUUCCCGGGCCUUGUACACACCGCCCGUCAAGCCAUGGGAGUCGGGAGUGCCUGAAGUUCGUGACCGUAUAGGAGCGACCUAGGGCAAGACUGAUGACUGGGGCUAAGUCGUAACAAGGUAGC